AUUGAACGCUGGCGGCAGGCCUAACACAUGCAAGUCGAACGAGUGGCGGACGGGUGAGUAAUGUCUGGGAAACUGCCUGAUGGAGGGGGAUAACUACUGGAAACGGUAGCUAAUACCGCAUACCAUCAGAUGUGCCCAGAUGGGAUUGGCUUGUUGGGUGGGUAACGGCUCACCAAGGCGACGAUUCCUAGCUGGUCUGAGAGGAGGACCAGCCACACUGGAACUGAGACACGGUCCAGUCUCCGACGGGAGGCGGGAGUGGGGAAAAGUGCACAGUAGACGCAAGCCUGAUGCAGACAUGCCGCGUGUAUGGAGAAGGCAUUCGGGUUGUAAAGUACUUUCAGCGGGGAAGCGUUAACCGCAGAAGAAGCACCGGCUAACUCCGUGCCAGCAGCCGCGGUAAUAC
RNAcentral lists this ribosomal RNA (406 nucleotides) under uncultured bacterium. Its description in RNAcentral is "partial 16S ribosomal RNA". It matches the Rfam family "Bacterial small subunit ribosomal RNA", at positions 30 to 526 of the family's 1533-position model. The record is from RNAcentral.